CAGUCGCCGCGGUAAUACAGAGGGUGCAAGCGUUAAUCGGAAUUACUGGGCGUAAAGCGCGCGUAGGUGGUUUGUUAAGUUGGAUGUGAAAUCCCCGGGCUCAACCUGGGAACUGCAUUCAAAACUGACUGACUAGAGCAUGGUAGAGGGUGGUGGAAUUUCCUGUGUAGCGGUGAAAUGCGUAGAUAUAGGAAGGAACACCAGUGGCGAAGGCGACCACCUGGACUAAUACUGACACUGAGGUGCGAAAGCGUGGGGAGCAAACAGGAUUAGAGACCCCCGUAGUCCCUGUCUCUUAUAC
Molecule: ribosomal RNA, 301 nt
Filed under: uncultured bacterium
Lineage: Bacteria
Description: partial 16S ribosomal RNA
Rfam family: Bacterial small subunit ribosomal RNA
Source: RNAcentral